ACGGGAGGCAGCAGUGAGGAAUAUUGGUCAAUGGACGAGAGUCUGAACCAGCCAAGUAGCGUGCAGGAUGACGGCCCUCCGGGUUGUAAACUGCUUUUAGUUGGGAAUAAAAGAGGGGACGUGUCCCCUAUUGUAUGUACCAUCAGAAAAAGGACCGGCUAAUUCCGUGCCAGCAGCCGCGGUAAUACGGAAGGUCCGGGCGUUAUCCGGAUUUAUUGGGUUUAAAGGGAGCGUAGGCGGGCCUUUAAGUCAGUGGUAAAAGCGUGUGGCUCAACCAUACCGCGCCAUUGAAACUGGAGGUCUUGAGUGCACACAGGGAUGCUGGAAUUCGUCGUGUAGCGGUGAAAUGCUUAGAUAUGACGAAGAACUCCGAUUGCGAAGGCAGCCUUCUGGGGUGUUACUGACGCUGAGGCUCGAAAGCGCGGGUAUCAAACAGGAUUAGAUACCCUGGUA
Molecule: ribosomal RNA, 453 nt
Filed under: uncultured Alloprevotella sp.
Lineage: Bacteria; Pseudomonadati; Bacteroidota; Bacteroidia; Bacteroidales; Prevotellaceae
Description: partial 16S ribosomal RNA
Rfam family: Bacterial small subunit ribosomal RNA
Source: RNAcentral